ACCAUGUUGAGCUCAUUUCCUUUCUUUCGAAUGCAUAAAAUAAGAUACCACAUUCAUACAACAGCCGUGCACAACGAUUGUGGAGAAAAGAGAAUCAUAUAAAUCAUUCAAUAUCUAAAAACGUGUUUCCAAUGUCAAAUAUAUAAAACUAAAGAUUAAAAACUUAUAUUACACGGUUCAUCGUUUUCCUAACACAAAGAAAUCUAGCUUAGCAUGUUAGGAAGAAGAAAACAAAAGAAAUAUUGAGUAGAUAUCACCCAAAUUAUGAAUCUUGAUUGAAUCUUGAUGUUGUGAAAUCGCUCCUCUUGUUCUUUGUAGUCUUCUAUGCCCUCUAAUGUGUUGUAAUGCGUGGUAACCAUUUCUAGAAAAUGUAUUAGCAUAUUACAAUCGUAUGCUAUAUGUGUCAAACAACUUAUUUUUCUUAUUUGUUGAUAAAUGUUGAUUUUUCUCCCAAAUAUCGUAUACUAUGUGUGUCAAACAAUUGAAAACAAAAGAAACGUAGAGUAGGUUCAACUGAUUUUAUGUUUAUCUUCAUGCGAGCCGUUCGCAAUCAUGGAGCUCAUUGUCAAACACCUUUGAAUGUUAUAUAUGUUUCCAUGACAACUCCACUUUUAUCUUUAAAUGUUUUUUCUUGGUUUGAUGGUAAAUGUUGAGAAAGUAGUGGGUAAAUUGGUAAUUCUUGGUUGUUUGGAUGAGCUGUAGUUUGACCAACUUAAA
RNAcentral lists this long non-coding RNA (717 nucleotides) under Olea europaea subsp. europaea. Lineage: Eukaryota; Viridiplantae; Streptophyta; Magnoliopsida; Lamiales; Oleaceae. The record is from RNAcentral.